Pantherophis guttatus is the source of this 1640-nucleotide non-coding RNA. The record is from RefSeq and is a predicted model, not a curated record. Lineage: Eukaryota; Metazoa; Chordata; Lepidosauria; Squamata; Colubridae.
CCGCCCCCCCCCCCCAGCAAGUUCUGUCCUCCUGUCUUCAGUGCCAGUGUAUGUGCAGAGAGAAAGGAAUAGUGACAACUCCCCCAUUUACAUAACAUUCCUGUGAUGUCAGGUGGAGGAGGGGAGAGAGCUGUUUGCAGUCCCUCCUUGUCAUCGUCCCAUCCCAUCUGGUGCUACAAAUGCGGAGACCCAAAAUGCCGCCUUCAUAUGUUGGAGCUGAGCUGGGAGACAAGCCUAGAGCUGCUGGGGAGAGAGAGAUGGGGAACUGAGGCUGGCAGAGAGUGACUUACCCAAGGCCAUUCAAUAAAGGCCAUAGCAGUCGGGCUCACAAGAGUCAGCAUCCGUUGGGACACACUUAAGCUGUUGUUUUGUGUCCUAUCCUGUCCUUAGUGGAUCCUGUGAGAACAGCUUUUCUCUUCUGCGUGAUGUUCUUCUAUACCCUCAAAACAUGCGACCAACCCCCCUCUAACCUUUCUACUGGGCAAAACAGCCAGUUUCCUCCAAGUGUUCCUUGUGCAGUUUGUCUUCUAGACAUUUAUCAUCCAUGCGACUCUUCUCUGAAACUUUUCCAUUGAUCAGCAUCCUGUCUGAAUUGUAAGGCUCAGAAACGAACUGUACUCUACUUCAAAGGAGAUCUUACCACAGCCCAAUUUUCCAUUGCUUCUUGAGCCUUGGAUACAUUAUUUUGCUUCAGCAUUAUUCUGUGGACUUGUGCAUCUAUCUGUUCAUGCAUCUAAAGGUUUAAAAGAAAAAAGGGAGUUAGAAAAAAACAAAAAUCUUACAAUGUGAUGAAAAGGAUGUACUUAAGUAUUGUUAGCCUGAUUGACAUGUUAAGAUUUAUUUUUUCACACAGAAUAUUAAAGUAGAACGAUGCAUGAUUUUAUUAAAUAAGUUUCAAGAUGGUAAGGUUUGGUCAAUGUGCAUAUGUCUCCUUUCCAUGUAUUUCUGCUUAAAAAGUCUUCAGUGGAUUACCAUUAAUGAUAAUUUUCAUUGGAUAAAGUGGGUUUCUUGUUUUUCCACACCCCAAAGUUCCAGCUCUUCAUUCUGAGCAUGCAGCUUGUACAUCAGGAAAGGCCAAGGAUACAUUAUUGACUGAAGUGAAGGACAAGAAGUUACCCUCUAGUUUAAUCAGACUAGAAAUUGAAUCUAAUAUGAUGCUUCAGGACCGCAGGCUAGCUACAGAGAGCAGAAGAGGCUGCGAGAUGCAUGAAUACUUGUAUGUAGGUGUGAUGUGUGGGGUGUGUUUGUAUAAAUAUCAACAUAGCAGUUAAUAUGGUCAAAUGUAUUAUUUCAUCACAGCUUUAUAAGAGUUGGGGGGGCAAUCAAUUAACUAUGUUGGACCAUCACUUUAGAAAGCUCUUCUUAGUCUUCUUUUUGGAUUUAGAAAGUUGGAAAGAGGUCAAUGCCUCAUCUUCGACAGAUCUUGACAAGAUUUUAGGUAUGAGCAUUGCUGGGGUGGGAGGAGGCAGGGAUAUUAAAUACAUUCUUUAAUUGGUUUGAUUGUGAUAUUUCUUGGCUUUGGUUUGUAAUUUGUUACUUUACAGUGAUUGUACAAUGCUUCAAUCAUUUGUGAAAAACUGACUAAUAAAUGUAGUUGGUGAACGAGCCAGUAAAUAAACCACUUUCUGCAAAAUACAGUA